UACGAAGGGGGCGAGCGUUGUUCGGAAUUACUGGGCGUAAAGGGCGCGCAGGCGGCUCUGAAAGUCAGAUGUGAAAGCCCCGGGCUUAACCUGGGAAUUGCAUUUGAUACUCUGGAGCUUGAGUACGGGAGAGGAGAGUGGAAUUCCCAGUGUAGAGGUGAAAUUCGUAGAUAUUGGGAAGAACACCGGUGGCGAAGGCGGCUCUCCGGACCGUAACUGACGCUGAGGCGCGAAAGCGUGGGGAGCAAACAGG
RNAcentral lists this ribosomal RNA (253 nucleotides) under uncultured bacterium. RNAcentral's name for it is "partial 16S ribosomal RNA". It matches the Rfam family "Bacterial small subunit ribosomal RNA", at positions 524 to 776 of the family's 1533-position model. The record is from RNAcentral.